UACGUAGGGGGCGGGCGUUAUCCGGAAUUACUGGGUGUAAAGGGAGCGUAGACGGCGAGGUAAGCCUGAAGUGGAAGCCCGCGGCCCAACCGCGGAACUGCUUUGGGAACUGUUUUGCUGGAGUAUGGGAGGGGUAAGCGGAAUUCCUGGUGUAGCGGUGAAAUGCGUAGAUAUCAGGAGGAACACCGGUGGCGAAGGCGGCUUACUGGACCAUAACUGACGUUGAGGCUCGAAAGCGUGGGGAGCGAACAGG
RNAcentral lists this ribosomal RNA (253 nucleotides) under uncultured bacterium. RNAcentral's name for it is "partial 16S ribosomal RNA". It matches the Rfam family "Bacterial small subunit ribosomal RNA", at positions 524 to 776 of the family's 1533-position model. The record is from RNAcentral.